This 640-nucleotide ribosomal RNA is filed under the name uncultured bacterium. RNAcentral describes it as "bacterial SSU rRNA". It matches the Rfam family "Bacterial small subunit ribosomal RNA", at positions 1 to 609 of the family's 1533-position model. The record is from RNAcentral.
UAGAUUGCGGAUCCGCGGCCGCAGAGUUUGAUCAUGGCUCAGAUUGAACGCUAGCGGGAUGCCUUACACAUGCAAGUCGAACGGCAGCGGGAAGAAAGCUUGCUUUCUUUGCCGGCGAGUGGCGAACGGGUGAGUAAUGUAUCGGAACGUGCCCAGUAGCGGGGGAUAACUGGCCGAAAGGUCAGCUAAUACCGCAUACGCCCUACGGGGGAAAGGGGGGGACUCUUCGGAGCCUCUCACUAUUGGAGCGGCCGAUAUCGGAUUAGCUAGUUGGUGGGGUAAUGGCUCACCAAGGCAACGAUCCGUAGCUGGUUUGAGAGGACGACCAGCCACACUGGGACUGAGACACGGCCCAGACUCCUACGGGAGGCAGCAGUGGGGAAUUUUGGACAAUGGGGGGAACCCUGAUCCAGCCAUCCCGCGUGUGCGAUGAAGGCCUUCGGGUUGUAAAGCACUUUUGUCAGGGAAGAAAAGGUUCUGGCUAAUAUCCGGAACUGAUGACGGUACCUGAAGAAUAAGCACCGGCUAACUACGUGCCAGCAGCCGCGGUAAUACGUAGGGUGCAAGCGUUAAUCGGAAUUACUGGGCGUAAAGCGUGCGCAGGCGGUUUCGGAAAGAAAGGAUGUGAAAUCCCAGGGCU